CCUACGGGUGGCAGCAGUGAGGAAUAUUGGUCAAUGGGCGGAAGCCUGAACCAGCCAAGUCGCGUGAGGGAAUAAGGCCCUACGGGUCGUAAACCUCUUUUGCCGGGGAGCAAGGGCGGGGACGUGUCCCGGCCCGGAGAGUACCCGGAGAAAAAGCAUCGCUAAACUCCGUCCCAGAGGCCGCGGUAAUACGGAGGAUGCGGCGGUUAUCCGGUUUUUUGGGGUUUAAAGGGUGGGUAGGCGGGCUGUUAAGUCAGCGGUAAAAAUUGGGGGCUCAACCCCGUCCGGCCGUUGAAACUGGGGGCCUUGAGUGGGCGAGAAGAAGGCGGAAUGCGUGGUGUAGCGGUGAAAUGCAUAGAUAUCACGCAGAACCCCGAUUGCGAAGGCAGCCUUCCGGCGCCCUACUGACGCUGAGGCACGAAAGUGCGGGGAUCGAACAGGAUUAGAUACCCCUGUAGUC
This 460-nucleotide ribosomal RNA is filed under the name uncultured bacterium. RNAcentral's name for it is "partial 16S ribosomal RNA". It matches the Rfam family "Bacterial small subunit ribosomal RNA", at positions 338 to 795 of the family's 1533-position model. The record is from RNAcentral.